GACGAACGCUGGCGGCGUGCUUAACACAUGCAAGUCGUACGGUAAGGCCCUUUCGGGGGUACACGAGUGGCGAACGGGUGAGUAACACGUGAGUAACCUGCCCACAACUUUGGGAUAACGCUAGGAAACUGGUGCUAAUACUGGAUAUGUGCUCCUGCUGCAUGGUGGGGGUUGGAAAGCUCCGGGGGUUGUGGAUGGACUCGCGGCCUAUCAGCUUGUUGGUGGGGUAGUGGCCUACCAAGGCGGCGACGGGUAGCCGGCCUGAGAGGGUGACCGGCCACAUUGGGGCUGAGAUACGGGCCAGACUCCUACGGGGGGCAGCAGUGGGGAAUAUUGCACAAUGGGCGCAAGCCUGAUGCAGCAACGCCGCGUGCGGGAUGACGGCCUUCGGGUUGGAAACCGCUUUCAGCAGGGACGAAGCUUUUUGUGACGGUACCUGCAGAAGAAGCACCGGCUAACUACGUG
This 465-nucleotide ribosomal RNA is filed under the name uncultured bacterium. RNAcentral describes it as "partial 16S ribosomal RNA". It matches the Rfam family "Bacterial small subunit ribosomal RNA", at positions 28 to 507 of the family's 1533-position model. The record is from RNAcentral.